GCCCUGUUAGCACAGAUGGUAGUGCGUAAGACUUCUAACUCAUUCAGCAGUUGAGAAGAUCAUCUUAAGGUCGCGGGUUCGAGCCCCGCAUGGGGUU
Transfer RNA from Kwoniella mangroviensis CBS 10435, 97 nucleotides. It matches the Rfam family "tRNA". From Rfam's summary of the family: Transfer RNA (tRNA) molecules are approximately 80 nucleotides in length. The record is from Rfam. NCBI's taxonomy places the organism in Eukaryota, Fungi, Basidiomycota, Tremellomycetes, Tremellales, Cryptococcaceae.